RNAcentral lists this ribosomal RNA (116 nucleotides) under Paramormyrops kingsleyae. The record is from RNAcentral. Lineage: Eukaryota; Metazoa; Chordata; Actinopteri; Osteoglossiformes; Mormyridae.
GUCAGCAGCUGUACCGCCUGCCAUCCAAAAUAGGUAACCCAUCUGAAGCUAAGCAGGUUUGGAUCUGGUCAGCACUUGGAUAGGAGACCAACUAAGAAAGUAGGUUCUUGCUGGAG